This 704-nucleotide ribosomal RNA is filed under the name Lactuca sativa (garden lettuce). Its description in RNAcentral is "eukaryotic LSU rRNA". The stretch from base 259 to 414 matches the Rfam family "5.8S ribosomal RNA". Lineage: Eukaryota; Viridiplantae; Streptophyta; Magnoliopsida; Asterales; Asteraceae. The record is from RNAcentral.
UUGGUUCGAACCUUGCAGCAGACGACCCGUGAACAUGUAACCACAACGGGGUGACCGUGAUAAGGGCCUCGGUCCUUAUCCCCUAACCCUUCCCGACGUGAGUUCGUGGUGUCUUUUUUGGGGCAUCAUGGAUUCCGUUGGACCAUAACAAAACCCCGGCACGGUAUGUGCCAAGGAAAACAAAAAUGAGAAGGACACUACCUGUUUCGCCCCGUUUGCGGUGUGCGUACAGGUCGUGGCCUCCUUGGAAUCACAAACGACUCUCGGCAACGGAUAUCUCGGCUCACGCAUCGAUGAAGAACGUAGCAAAAUGCGAUACUUGGUGUGAAUUGCAGAAUCCCGUGAACCAUCGAGUUUUUGAACGCAAGUUGCGCCCGAAGCCAUCCGGCUGAGGGCACGCCUGCCUGGGCGUCACGCAUCGCGUCGCUCCCCACCAUACCUCCCCAACGGGUUGGCAUGGUGUUGGGGGCGGAUAAUGGCCUCCCGUGCUUGUGUUUCGGUUGGCCUAAAUAAGAGUUCCCUUCGGCGGACACACGACUAGUGGUGGUUGAAUAGACCCUCGUCUUUUGUUGCGUGUCGUGAGCUGUAAGGGUAGCCCUCAUCAAAGACCCCAUUGUAUCGUCUUCGGAUGAUGCUUCGACCGCGACCCCAGGUCAGGCGGGACUACCCGCUGAGUUUAAGCAUAUCAAUAAGCGGAGGAAAAA